ACUCCUACGGGAGGCAGCAGUGGGAAUAUUGCACAAUGGGCGCAAGCCUGAUGCAGCCAUGCCGCGUGUGUGAAGAAGGCCUUCGGGUUGUAAAGCACUUUCAGUCGGGAGGAAGGUAGUGUAGUUAACACCUGCAUUAUUUGACGUUACCUACAGAAGAAGCACCGGCUAACUCCGUGCCAGCAGCCGCGGUAAUACGGAGGGUGCGAGCGUUAAUCGGAAUUACUGGGCGUAAAGCGUGCGCAGGCGGUUUGUUAAGCGAGAUGUGAAAGCCCCGGGCUCAACCUGGGAAUUGCAUUUCGAACUGGCAAGCUAGAGUCUUGUAGAGGGGGGUAGAAUUUCAGGUGUAGCGGUGAAAUGCGUAGAGAUCUGAAGGAAUACCGGUGGCGAAGGCGGCCCCCUGGACAAAGACUGACGCUCAUGCACGAAAGCGUGGGGAGCAAACAGGAUUAGAUACCCUGGUAGGCUCU
This 470-nucleotide ribosomal RNA is filed under the name uncultured bacterium. RNAcentral's name for it is "bacterial SSU rRNA". It matches the Rfam family "Bacterial small subunit ribosomal RNA", at positions 335 to 798 of the family's 1533-position model. The record is from RNAcentral.